AACGAACGCUGGCGGCAGGCCUAACACAUGCAAGUCGAAGGAGAAGCACUCUUCGGAGUGUGGACACUGGCGCACGGGUGAGUAACGCGUGGGAAUCCUACCCCGGGGUGGGGGACAACCGCUGGAAACGGCGGCUAAUACCGCAUACGCCUUGAGAGGGAAAGCUUUAGCGCCCUGGGAUGAGCCCGCGUUAGAUUAGGUUGUUGGUGGGGUAAUGGCCUACCAAGCCUACGAUCUAUAGCUGGUCUGAGAGGAUGAUCAGCCACACUGGGACUGAGACACGGCCCAG
This 289-nucleotide ribosomal RNA is filed under the name uncultured bacterium. Its description in RNAcentral is "partial 16S ribosomal RNA". It matches the Rfam family "Bacterial small subunit ribosomal RNA", at positions 29 to 334 of the family's 1533-position model. The record is from RNAcentral.